CUCUGAAUCCACAAGUCCUCAGUCUGGUCGGCAGCUCUCUGUCAUCGCCAUCGUAACCUAUCUCUCAGUCAGUCAGUCUCGCUUCUACACAGACGGACGUCAAACUCGCCGCUUCUCAGUCCUCAUAGGGUUUUAGGGUUAAAGAAUUGAGAUGUCGAGCUUUCAUGUUGGAGGGAAAGUGGUGGAGAGAGUGGAUUUGUUGAGGAAGAAGCAUUGGGCAUGGCGUUUGGAUGUAUGGCCUUUUGCUAUUUUAUACGUUCUCUGUAUUACUGCUAUUGUCC
RNAcentral lists this unclassified non-coding RNA (281 nucleotides) under Hevea brasiliensis (rubber tree). Lineage: Eukaryota; Viridiplantae; Streptophyta; Magnoliopsida; Malpighiales; Euphorbiaceae. The record is from RNAcentral.